RNAcentral lists this long non-coding RNA (1123 nucleotides) under Elaeis guineensis (African oil palm). Its description in RNAcentral is "long non-coding RNA (EGUI_LNC009912)". The record is from RNAcentral. Lineage: Eukaryota; Viridiplantae; Streptophyta; Magnoliopsida; Arecales; Arecaceae.
GUUGUGCUGGAACUUUCAUGUCCUUGAGUCAGAAAAAAUCUUUCUGAUCAAUGAUAUCGACCCGACUGAGUUCGUUGGGGCCAGUUCUCUGAUCACUCCAGGAUGAAGGAAAGCCCCAAGGAGAAGAAAUGAAAAAAAAUUGGUUCUUCCACCCAUGAAUGGACGAUGAAAGAUCAAAAAUAAAAGACAGACCCUUCCUCAGGUUGAAAAACCACCAACCCUUGGCUUUUGGAUGAUGGAGGACGAAGAAGGCUCAGAAAAGAAAAAGAUGAGGGUUGGUCGGGAUAAGACGACACAAUAAAGCAAAGCUGAAAUUAGCCGAAUAGAGUUUGGAACUAAGUGAGUAGGCCAAAGACGGUAAUAAUCAAGAAGAUUCCGGAUGAACUCUGGAAUCGAAUAUCGAAGAUCGGCUCAAAGGUCCUCUACAUAAAAUGCAACUUGAUUUGGAGGAGAGUUCACCCAACCAUCCGGACCAGGAGCAAAGAGCUGAAAUUGCUCUGGGAUAUGGUACUGUUUUCGAAGUCGAUCGACAUUGGGUCCAGACAAAGAAGAAACUUUCAUCUCUAGAUCCGAAGGAGAAUCAUCGAUCGGAUUCUCCGAUCGACUAUCUUGAGAAAAUGAAGCCUUCGCUUUCUUACCCCUACUUGCCAUUGAAAAUGAUAGAACCUAGAAGAAGAAAAAACCUAAGAGGAAGGGACAAGAACUCGACCUAAGACUAGGAAAUGACGUGAAAAGCAGGGAAAGCUCUCAGCACCCGGGGCAGAACCUUUUGUUGCAGAAGAAAAUGACGAAUGCAAGAGCAGAAGAUCCAAAUAAAAGUGAUAUAAUAUAUAUAGGACCCUUUAACAGUCUGGAUGAAGUUAUUCAAAUUAGGACUUUUUCAUAUUUCGACACGUGGCUACAUCAAAAUCGAUCAUUGAUCGGAUGGUUCGACGCAUCUACCUUCAGAUCACGCCACCUCAUCACUAUCCACGUGAACAAUGUAGAGCCAAUGAUAUCUGGACACGUGGUCGAAAUCAACUAGUCAGAAUCAAAUCGUCCGGAUUCAUCGGACGUCAGACUAUCUUCUUGAAGCGACACUCUAAUGAUGAUCUCACGGUUAUCGAAAUGAUAAAACCGCUGG